RNAcentral lists this ribosomal RNA (445 nucleotides) under uncultured bacterium. Its description in RNAcentral is "partial 16S ribosomal RNA". It matches the Rfam family "Bacterial small subunit ribosomal RNA", at positions 30 to 523 of the family's 1533-position model. The record is from RNAcentral.
CGAACGCUGGCGGCAGGCCUAAUACAUGCAAGUCGAACGGCUCUUCGGAGCAGUGGCGGACGGGUGAGUAACGCGUGGGAAUGUGCCCUUAGGUACGGAACAACACAGGGAAACUUGUGCUAAUACCGUAUGUGCCCUUCGGGGGAAAGAUUUAUCGCCUUUGGAGCAGCCCGCGUUGGAUUAGGUAGUUGGUGAGGUAAAGGCUCACCAAGCCGACGAUCCAUAGCUGGUCUGAGAGGAUGACCAGCCACACUGGGACUGAGACACGGCCCAGACUCCUACGGAAGGCAGCAGUAGGGAAUCUUGCGCAAUGGGCGAAAGCCUGACGCAGCCAUGCCGCGUGUAUGAUGAAGGUCUUAGGAUUGUAAAAUACUUUCACCGGGGAAGAUAAUGAUGGUACCCGGAGAAGAAGCCCCGGCUAACUUCGUGCCAGCAGCCGCCGUAA